GAAAACGGAAGUGAUGGCAUUAGUUCUCCCUUGCAUAGGACUAAUGUAGAACCAAUCGACGUUGCUGCUGAUACAAUUUUCCAACAGGGCAUAUCCCUUCCCGAUGAUGAAGAUUUCAUUGAUGACGAGUUAAAUGAAAAUGAUGAUUACCAAAGUGGUAGUAGUGAAGAUCUUGUGACAGAUAGUGGGAAUUCAUCUGAAAAUGCUGACGUGAGGCUACCCGUCAUGUAGAAGGACUACUGAGGCUACCUGUGAGGUUCGAAUAGCUACUGAAUGGUACAGAGAUGAUGGAUAUUAAAUCGAGCAAAGACCAACAAUGCAGAGUAUUCAAACCUCAUUAUUAUGGGACUGCAAUCCGAUGGGUGAUUUAAAUCUAAAAUGAUGUGGAUGCUAUUAGAAAAGGACCACAUUCAUGAAUUUGUUGUAAACUAAAUGCACUAGGUUUUGUAGACAUGCAGGCUGGUCCAAAAAAUACCUUUUGGAUGUAGUUGUUUUCUGGAAAUGUUUUAGUAGUUGUUGGACAGAUAUUGGACAUAUUAUGUACAAUGUUAUGUGAAAUUAUUGGCAAGAUUCUAAUUU
This is a long non-coding RNA of Carya illinoinensis, 579 nucleotides long. RefSeq lists it as uncharacterized. NCBI's taxonomy places the organism in Eukaryota, Viridiplantae, Streptophyta, Magnoliopsida, Fagales, Juglandaceae. The transcript is spliced from 3 exons. The record is from RefSeq and is a predicted model, not a curated record.